This 497-nucleotide ribosomal RNA is filed under the name uncultured bacterium. RNAcentral's name for it is "partial 16S ribosomal RNA". It matches the Rfam family "Bacterial small subunit ribosomal RNA", at positions 28 to 507 of the family's 1533-position model. The record is from RNAcentral.
GAUGAACGCUGGCGGCGUGCCUAAUACAUGCAAGUCGAGCGAACAGACGAGGAGCUUGCUCCUCUGACGUUAGCGGCGGACGGGUGAGUAACACGUGGAUAACCUACCUAUAAGACUGGGAUAACUUCGGGAAACCGGAGCUAAUACCGGAUAAUAUAUUGAACCGCAUGGUUCAAUAGUGAAAGACGGUUUUGCUGUCACUUAUAGAUGGAUCCGCGCCGCAUUAGCUAGUUGGUAAGGUAACGGCUUACCAAGGCAACGAUGCGUAGCCGACCUGAGAGGGUGAUCGGCCAAACUGGAACUGAGACACGGUCCCGAAUCCUAAGGGAGGCAGCAGUAGGGAAUCUUCCGCAAUGGGCGAAAGCCUGACGGAGCAACGCCGCGUGAGUGAUGAAGGUCUUCGGAUCGUAAAACUCUGUUAUUAGGGAAGAACAAAUGCGUAAGUAACUAUGCACGUCUUGACGGUACCUAAACAGAAAGCCACGGCUAACUACGUG